Molecule: non-coding RNA, 74 nt
Organism: Potamilus streckersoni
Lineage: Eukaryota; Metazoa; Mollusca; Bivalvia; Unionida; Unionidae
Source: the annotation of a GenBank genome assembly
CACUCCGGUGGCCUAGUGGUUAUAGCGUCCGCCUCGGAUGCGGAAAGUCGUGAGUUCGAUCCCCGGUCGAGUCA